UUUUGUCACAUUCGGAUUGUUCCUGCUGCCUCAGUCGCCGCGCACACUAAACCCAACCACUGUGGGUUGGAGUCUCCACUGGCCCAACUCUCACAAUUUAACAUCUUCCAAUGUGAAUUGGUUAUAUUCGUGAGGAGGAAGGAACUGUCGAUCCUAGGAGGAAAUUAAAGCCGUGAAAGGCCUUGCGCUGCUUUUGCUUUUACUUACCUGCUCCGAACAAAUUGGACUUCCAGAGUCAGUCAUUUUAGUGUCAAGAAAUUUCUUUGGCACUCUAUAACAGGUGACUUGUUGUUGUUCUACAGGUGAGCAUCUGGGAGCCAUUAAUCCAGAACUCUCCUACCAGGGCACCAGGCACUGAGAUGAUAAGUUGAGUAAGUGCUGAAAUGAGUUGAAGACUAGCCUUUGGAGGUUUCCAGAGUAGAUCGUGCAUCUCCUUUGGAUGGACCGGGCAAAGUGACAUUCUGCAAACUGCUGUCAGAGGUCCUGAGAACACAAGCCCAUCUGGCUUUCAUUCCCUGUGUUGAAUGGCAUUUGCCCCAGCAGCCCACUGAGGGCUCUUUCCCUCGGGAUUCUGAACUGUAACUAGGAACCCAGGCUGAGAAGAUGCUGAGUUCCAUCAAGUGUGUGUUGGUGGGAGACUCUGCGGUGGGGAAAACCUCUCUGUUGGUGCGCUUCACCUCAGAGACCUUCCCGGAGGCCUACAGGCCCACGGUGUAUGAGAAUACAGGCGUGGACGUCUUCAUGGAUGGCAUCCAGAUCAGCCUGGGGCUCUGGGACACAGCCGGCAAUGAUGCCUUCAGGAGUAUCCGGCCCUUGUCCUACCAGCAGGCGGACGUGGUGCUGAUGUGCUACUCCGUGGCCAACCAUAACUCCUUCCUGAACCUGAAAAACAAGUGGAUCGGUGAAGUCAGGAGCAACCUGCCCUGCACCCCUGUGCUGGUGGUGGCCACCCAGACUGACCAGCGGGAGGUGGGGCCCCACAGGGCCUCCUGCGUCAAUGCCAUAGAAGGAAAGAGACUGGCCCAGGAUGUGAGAGCUAAGGGCUACCUGGAGUGCUCAGCCCUCAGCAAUCGGGGGGUACAGCAGGUAUUUGAGUGUGCCGUCCGAACUGCUGUCAACCAAGCCAGGAGACGCAACAGAAGGAGGUUCUUCUCCAUUAAUGAAUGCAAGAUCCUCUAAACCCCAAAGACUUUACUCAACACUCGUUUCCUCUGCCCAAAGACUAACUGAGACAGGGAGAGCCCACAAGCCAGCAAGGAUUGAUACUCUUUCUGGAUACAGCAGCGUUUCCUUCCUGAAAAGUGUUUCCUUUUGGAUACAAUUGAUGAGACUUGGCUACUGGAUGUUUUUACAAAAUAAACUCUACAAAUGGACUCUUUGCCCUUGCCAACUAGAAGAUGCCUUGAGCAACUGUAAUGAAUACUCCAUCUUCAACUAAAAAAACCAAAGCGGUCUCCAUAAUUUUGGACAAUGAAACUGAAGGAAACGUCUUCCAGGUAGAGAGCAGACUGCUCUAAGCGAUGGCAGCAGAGCUUGGAGCAGACGCAAGGAAGUCUGACUUUCACUUUGGGGACCGUUGCACUUCGCCAGCGUCUUCUGACCCUGGGACUCCUAGCUUGUUGUAGGUCUUGUGAAAGACCAGACUCGGUUCUCUGUGACGGCAAUUCAGCAGAUUUGUUGUCUGAACUCUAACCUGAGCUGGCAUGGCAACAUAAUUUAUUAAUUUUAGGAUCUAAUCAGAAUCAUUGGGAAGAUAUCUAGGUGUAUAUGUAUCUGUGUUGGAAAAAAGGUGGAAUUUGUAACUUUUACUAAUUUCAUGAAUAUGAAACACCUGAGCAGAAAAAAUCACAAAUUUCAAGCACAGGGAACAGGAAAACGGUAUAGCAAUUGCUUAGAUAAUAAAAAGUUAUCAGGAGAAAUACUGAGUAAAUAGGAACACUGCCUACCCCCAUUCUAUCUAAUAGCUUAAAAGCAAUGGCAUUGAUCAUGUUAAAGUUGAGAACAGAGGACUAUGUCGCUUCAGAAAUUGCAAAAGCUGGAACCCAGGUGUUUCGUUUACUCACCCAAUCAAAUAAAACCUAGAACCACUCUGAAUCACGUUUAUUAAAGCUCAUGGUGGUUAGGGUGUAACACGCCAUCACACACCAACGGUGAGCAGUUGGCGUAAUGACCAUGAUUAGACUUUUGUUAUGUGGUCGAUUCUUUAUAGCGCUAAUCAAUGUCAAAAUCAAACGUGUGCUUGUCUCCACAUUGCCUUCUCUUUCUCCUCUUUGCUCAUCCACAUCCAAUAAAGGGGCUGGGACCUGGGUCUUCAUCUCUGGGGCCCGGGUUCCUUCAGUUCCCUGGGGCUGACAUAGCUACCUUCACCCUGACAUCUCCAGCUCUCCAGGCCCACAGCUCAUCCUCUCCUCAGUAUCACCUGUGUGCCUUAAUUUGCGAACUACCAUAUCCAGCUCUCCACGCUGGGCAGCCAGAGGGUUGGAGGGCUUCAAAGCUGGCCAGGCAGGUGAGGCGAUGGGAGUUCAUCUCCUCAGUAUCCCUGUUGACCUUCCUCCUCUUCUCCAUCAAUCGCCAACGGUCUUAAAGAACACGUGCAGGUUUUCCUUCAGGGUCAGUCUUUAGGGUGGAGGGUAUUUAACACAAUAGCAGGAAUCAAUUUCUAAUCAUUACAACUAGCUUUCCCCAAGCUUUUCUUUCUUUCUUGUUGAAUAGAGAUUGGUUGACGUGGGUUGGGGGAUAGGGGGCCAGGAUCUGAAAAUGGGAAGGCCUAGUUACCUGAUUCUAAGAGAGGGGAGAGGAGGUGAUUCCAUGGCAGAAGUGGUAUUACCAGGGAAGGCCAGAGAGGGCGAGGCCAGGUGACUUUGCCUUCACCUGGGCAGACACACAGGUGAGCCGUCUGCCUGUUGGCUGGAGCCAAGCUUAAACGCCCCCUCUGAGAACCCUCACACCUAAGAAUAGGAAUCCACGUGUAAACUCUCCCCAGUGAUAGGAACUGGCAUAAAUUGAAGCCAGUCAGCAUCUCUCUCCCUUAUUAGACUACAGUUCUUGAAGGCAGAGCCACCUCCUGUUCAUUUCAGUGUCCCCAGGGCCCAGCUCAGGGAAAGAAAGGCAGCUAAACAAAGUCGUGUUGAAUUGAAUUGGAGAGAAAGUCAAGAAUUGGACGGAUGUGCUGCAAAGCGGUUACAGGAAGGAAGCAGACCCUCACCAGCUGUGCAGGGGUAAGAAGUGAAAAUAGGCCAUUUUCUUGGAAUCCAUGCAGUUUAUGCUCUACAUGACUGUGUAUUUCUUUCUCCUGCUUAGAUGCAGGCAUAUGCUUCUUACACUUCAAAACUUGCAGUACCUUUUUUUGUGGACUAUUGUAUGUUGAUUCUUAACCAUCCCGCGUAGCAACAUUAAAUAUGCUCUUGUUUACAUUAAGGAGUUGGCUGAGUGGUUGAGUAAUUCAUCCUAUUCUGUUCUACUUUAUACUGACUAUCUAAAUACGGUGGCACAAGCUAGUGUGAUGAAAUUAGGCUGAUAAGAAAGCAGAAAGCAUCGCAAUGGUUAUAGUUUAUUGAGGGCUUGGAUGUGCCAGGCCCUGUGCUAAGCACUUGAGUGUGUGUGUGAUCUCACCACGUGGUGUGUAGGUAGCCACACUGUGAGUACCAUAUUGCACAGGAAACUGAACGUUGACCGGCAAGUCCAAGGCCAGACAGCAGGUGAGUGGCUGCACCAGGAGUCUUGAGCGGGUCUGUUGGACUCCAAAGCUCUGCUCAAAACCACUGUGCCCCACUUCCUCCCAGAGCAGCCCAACCAUGUGGUUUUGCCACAUCCGAUCUCAUGUAACCUUGUAGGUCCCAACCCUACCAGUCAAGUGGCCUGUAUUUUAAAAAUUGCUUUUAAUAAAAUAUUUCAAUUCUUUGUCCA
Molecule: RNA transcript, 3906 nt
Organism: Camelus dromedarius (Arabian camel)
Lineage: Eukaryota; Metazoa; Chordata; Mammalia; Artiodactyla; Camelidae
Gene: RHOH
Gene name: ras homolog family member H
Exons: 4
Source: RefSeq, a predicted model, not a curated record